CCUACGGGCGGCAGCAGUGAGGAAUAUUGGUCAAUGGACGAGAGUCUGAACCAGCCAAGCAGCGUGAAGGAUGACUGCCCUAUGGGUUGUAAACUUCUUUUAUAUGGGAAUAAAAUGUUUCACGUGUGGGAUUUUGUAUGUACCAUAUGAAUAAGGAUCGGCUAACUCCGUGCCAGCAGCCGCGGUAAUACGGAGGAUCCGAGCGUUACCCGGAUUUAGUGGGUUUAAAGGGAGCGUAGGUGGAUUGUUAAGUCAGUUGUGAAAGUUUGCGGCUCAACCGUAAAAUUGCAGUUGAAACUGGCAGUCUUGAGUACGGUAGAGGUGAGCGGAAUUCGUGGUGUAGGGGUGAAAUGCUUAGAUAUCACGAAGAACUCCGAUGGCGAAGGCAGCUCACUGGACUACAACUGACACUGAGGAUCGAAAGUGUGGGUAGCAAACAGGAUUAGAUACCCUUGUAGUC
This 460-nucleotide ribosomal RNA is filed under the name uncultured bacterium. Its description in RNAcentral is "partial 16S ribosomal RNA". It matches the Rfam family "Bacterial small subunit ribosomal RNA", at positions 338 to 795 of the family's 1533-position model. The record is from RNAcentral.